RNAcentral lists this ribosomal RNA (1489 nucleotides) under metagenome. Its description in RNAcentral is "bacterial SSU rRNA". It matches the Rfam family "Bacterial small subunit ribosomal RNA". The record is from RNAcentral.
UUUGAUCCUGGCUCAGAUUGAACGCUGGCGGCAUGCCUUACACAUGCAAGUCGAACGGCAGCGCGGGAGCAAUCCUGGCGGCGAGUGGCGAACGGGUGAGUAAUACAUCGGAACGUGCCCAAUCGUGGGGGAUAACGCAGCGAAAGCUGUGCUAAUACCGCAUACGAUCUACGGAUGAAAGCAGGGGAUCGCAAGACCUUGCGCGAAUGGAGCGGCCGAUGGCAGAUUAGGUAGUUGGUGAGGUAAAGGCUCACCAAGCCUUCGAUCUGUAGCUGGUCUGAGAGGACGACCAGCCACACUGGGACUGAGACACGGCCCAGGCUCCUACGGGAGGCAGCAGUGGGGAAUUUUGGACAAUGGGCGAAAGCCUGAUCCAGCCAUGCCGCGUGCAGGAUGAAGGCCUUCGGGUUGUAAACUGCUUUUGUACGGAACGAAACGGCCUUUUCUAAUAAAGAGGGCUAAUGACGGUACCGUAAGAAUAAGCACCGGCUAACUACGUGCCAGCAGCCGCGGUAAUACGUAGGGUGCAAGCGUUAAUCGGAAUUACUGGGCGUAAAGCGUGCGCAGGCGGUUAUGUAAGACAGUUGUGAAAUCCCCGGGCUCAACCUGGGAACUGCAUCUGUGACUGCAUAGCUAGAGUACGGUAGAGGGGGAUGGAAUUCCGCGUGUAGCAGUGAAAUGCGUAGAUAUGCGGAGGAACACCGAUGGCGAAGGCAAUCCCCUGGACCUGUACUGACGCUCAUGCACGAAAGCGUGGGGAGCAAACAGGAUUAGAUACCCUGGUAGUCCACGCCCUAAACGAUGUCAACUGGUUGUUGGGUCUUCACUGACUCAGUAACGAAGCUAACGCGUGAAGUUGACCGCCUGGGGAGUACGGCCGCAAGGUUGAAACUCAAAGGAAUUGACGGGGACCCGCACAAGCGGUGGAUGAUGUGGUUUAAUUCGAUGCAACGCGAAAAACCUUACCCACCUUUGACAUGUACGGAAUUCGCCAGAGAUGGCUUAGUGCUCGAAAGAGAACCGUAACACAGGUGCUGCAUAGCUGUCGUCAGCUCGUGUCGUGAGAUGUUGGGUUAAGUCCCGCAACGAGCGCAACCCUUGUCAUUAGUUGCUACAUUCAGUUGGGCACUCUAAUGAGACUGCCGGUGACAAACCGGAGGAAGGUGGGGAUGACGUCAAGUCCUCAUGGCCCUUAUAGGUGGGGCUACACACGUCAUACAAUGGCUGGUACAAAGGGUUGCCAACCCGCGAGGGGGAGCUAAUCCCAUAAAACCAGUCGUAGUCCGGAUCGCAGUCUGCAACUCGACUGCGUGAAGUCGGAAUCGCUAGUAAUCGUGGAUCAGAAUGUCACGGUGAAUACGUUCCCGGGUCUUGUACACACCGCCCGUCACACCAUGGGAGCGGGUUCUGCCAGAAGUAGUUAGCUUAACCGCAAGGAGGGCGAUUACCACGGCAGGGUUCGUGACUGGGGUGAAGUCGUAACAAGGUA